UGCCUGAGAUGAUCACCGGUAACUAGAGUCCUAAAAUAGACACUUUUGUGAGUCACUUUUUCUCGAAGACCUUUUUCUGCUGCAUCUUUCCUGCAGGUCUCUUCUGAAGCCAGGAGAACUUUGCUGUUGUUUUCCCUUCUCUGUUUCUGACAUGAAAGGCAGCCCCCCCUUUGCCAGGCGGCCUCCCUGGACACCUGAGCAGCUGGAGCAUCACUAUCAGGGCACAACCCUCGCCUUUCUUUACUCCCAGGAGGGUGGAAAGUGGGACACAGCACUGGGACACAGAGAAACGACAGAUGACAGAGACUUUCUAUCUGAAAGGCAUGUCCUAUUAUCCUCAAACAUCCUGCCUCCAGCACGUCCCUGAAUGGCCACGAGGGACCCUAUCAUGCUUUUUUGCCCUGGGCUUUCCAAAGCACCCUCUCAGUACCGCUGCCCAGCUGCUCUCCCAGGGUAGUCAAGUCCCUCUGCCAUGGACUCACAGACAAGGACUGCCUCUUGUCCUUGGGCACCUCCUCCGUCCCCGGAUCAACAAACCCCAUAAACCCUCAUCUUCCUAUUCAGUUUUCAGAAAUAGACCCUCUGGUAACAGUCAACAGAGAUCCUCCUAGAGCCAACCUCACCAACUGGGAGAAAUUGCCUGGUUCACCACCUCAUCAGAGAUCAAUAGAAAAACAGUGCCAUGACAGAUGAGGGAUGCCUGUCUGUGACAGGUCAGGGAGGGGGACCUGGGAGUACUGCAGGUCUGCCAGUUGCCAUCUCUUACUAAACCCCUCCCCUACUUCCCCAAGGCUUGCACCUUAUCUCCGCAACCGCUAGUCCUAUAAGUGGGGUGGGAGGUUCCUCUCACAUACAAUAGAUAGAGCAACUAAAUAACCUCACCCCUGGGCUAGGAGGUCAAGGCCAUGGGACUGCCUCAGUCCUGCAGGAGGACGGAACUGGUCACUGAGGACACGGAGAAUGCCCCACGGCAUCCCCAGGCCCUCAAAUUUAAUCACGUUCCCUUUCUUGCUGCCUUUCCCUCUUUCUGCCACCCUCCUGGACCUUGUCCCCACUCUUCUCAUUGUAGUGAUCAUUCCAUUCUAAUAAACGUGUUUCUUUCUUUCCUAUUACUGUUUGUUGCAGGAUAUCGCAAACAGUUGCCUUGUGCUAUAGUCCCGUGUGUCUUCAUCUCCUACUAGACUACAGAUUCUGCUAAGGCAGGAACCACAAUCGCCUCCUGCUUGGGUAGAGUAGUCAGGCAAAGAAUGGCUUCUCAGUAAACGUUUUUCAGCUGAGUCUCUGGAUGAAGGGCUAAAAGUGAGUUCUCUCAGCCUCUGUAUGGGCAUUAAAGGACAAGGCAGAAAAACUCCCAAACUGAACUCCAACCCCUUAGAUUUCUAAAUCACCGCUGCUAGUCCUCUAGAAUUUCACCAUUGUUCUCACAUGUGAGUCCAAGAAUAUUCAGGUGGAAUUUCAAAGGAAAUGGAACCUUCCAGAUGGGGUAGGGUUUGGGACCGACAUUCAAAUAAACUCUCUCUCUCUCUCUCACACACACACACACACACACACACACACAGAGAGAGACAGACAGAGAGAGGCAGAGACAGAGGCAGAGAGAUGAGAAUCACAUACUUGUAAGAACACAGACAUUCUGCUAAAAUGCUGAGUGCUUUGCCACCCAAUGCUGUUGAAGUCCAUUAAGCCCUUCAGACUGAACUCUAAGUUUUCCAAAGCAAUCAAAGAAAGAAAGAAGGGUAGACACAAGAUUUCAGUAAGUUCUAUGAGGCAAUUCAAAAUCAGGUUUUCAGAGGUUCCUUUCAGAAACCGCAUUGGCCACCAGAAUAUUUAUUAACACAGUCCUUCAGCACAGGAAAGCAUUCACUGAACAAACGUAAAUAUAUUUGCAAAUCCGUGUGUUAAAACUAUUUCAUUAUUUCACCCAAAGUUCUCUCUAUAAAAAGAAAAACAUACCGAAUUUUAUAUCCUGUCUUGUGUGUACCGCCCAGGCAGCUGGGUUUCCUUAGUUCAAAUAAAAUUCAAGUUCUUCAAAUAUUUCAAGGUUUGGGAUGCUGUUUUAAACCAGUUGGAAACAGUAUCGAUGCCAAAUGUAUGACUAGAAAUGAGGUUAUUUAUGUCAGGAUGGUUUUCGAUGAAAAUACAGAGAAAACGAUUGUGAAGAGAUAUGCAGCUGAAAUUAUGAUUCACCACUGUGAUCAAACCCAAGGCGCUAUCCUGCUUUUUAUGUUUCAAUUAUGUUUCCAUACACAUGCCCAGGGGGCAACAAUGGCAUUUUGGUUACAUGUUUACACCCUACCUCAAAAUGGAAAGGAAUUUGGGGUAGCUAGGAUGCCACUUGCUGAUAGAAGGCUCACCGAAUUUUUAUUUUCUCAAAUGCAAACUGAUUUUCCCAGCUUUAAGUUUUAUUUUACAGAAGGAAUGGCAAGGUGGAUUAGAGACCGAAGUGCUAGGAGUGCUGGUUGGGUCCUGGUUUCUCUCUUCUUUUUAUAGCUGCACCUGCAGCAUAUGGAAGUUCCCAGGCUGGUCCUUUUCAUAAUUAAAAAGAACUGUAUCAGUACCAUCCUUGGUCUAACGUCUGUUCCUCUUGCUAGCUUACCACUUCCACAAGGAUAAGGACAGAGACUGGGUCUGUUUUGUUCACCACCUUGUCCUCACACAGAGUUAAACCCAAUACCUGCCCCUUGAGGUAAUGAAUGACAAAUUUAACAGGCAUUGAGAUGAUGCAUAAGAUGAUGCAUAAGAUGCUGAGUAAGAGUUCAUUACCAUGGGGACACCAUCGCAUGGCUUUGAAGACACUGGACAAGCCAGGGUCAAGGUCCCACUUUGCAGACAGAAACAAAGAAACAACCCCAGCCCUUCCCCUGUCCUCUGGCUCAUCCUCUGUCUUAUGUGAUGUCUCAACAUGACACCUCCAAUUACCCUGGGGUGCACCUUCAAGACCUGGACUGUCUAACAUGGAAGCCCCUAGCCAUAGGCGGUUAUUAAAUGCACAGUGAUUAAAAUGAACUAGAAACGCAGUUCCUCAGUCACACUAGGCACCUUUCAAGGGCUCCAUAGCCAUACGUGGCCAAUGGCUACCGUGCUGAACAGUAUAGAUACAGAUGCUUUACUACUACAAUAUUUUUUUUGUCCAGCCCUGUUCUAGCGCCUGCCUAGCCCAACACACACUGUAUUUCUGGGUCAUCCUGGACCACACAGUCCCCCACCUGGCUUUUGCCUUCCUUCCUAACAUCCUACCUAGAACCAGCCGCAGCUGAAGGCUCACUGCUGGUCUUCUCUGAAAGGACACAGUGAGAUUUUAAAAGCUUUCAUCUGUCAAAGAACCUCUCUGAUCCUUUCCUUCUAUUCAAAAGAUUUCAGUCUGCAGCCAUACCACCCUGAACGCACUCAAUCUCGUCCAAUGGGUUGUCAAUGUUCUAGGUUGGGUUUUUUCCCCAUUAUUUGCAUAUCCUUUGCUAAUGCCGGCCCUCAAUGCUGCCCCUUGUGUCGCUGGGCUACUCCUGGAGGAUCUGACCUCAUUCCCCAAGACCCGCCCUCUAGAGUCUAGGCUAAGCCCCAGGUUGGUUUCUCAUCACUUCUGUCCUUCUGAUAUUCUGGCCCGUUUGUUUCUAAAGAGAACUUGAGGCUGCUGAGUAACAGCUCCAAGAUCUGCAUUCAUCUCUCACUUUUCAUAUAAUGCUUGGGAAGAAAUAGCUGGAGAGAAAACCUAUGCAAAUCUGCUUUCCUGAAAUGGACUCUCUUCAUUUGGGGCUUAUUCCUAUUGAGUUCAUCAUGGAUUUGGUUAUUUUAUGAUCAUUUCCUCCAAGGCUUCUGUCUAAUCUUUAGAUUAGAGCUUUAGCGCAGUAAUUCUUUCUUUCCUCUUUCAUAACAUUGCAUUAAAAAGGGAUUUCUGUCGUCAUUGAUUCUGCCCUGCCUGAUGUUCAUGAAUUAUCCUCGUGCAGCUGCUGGGUUUCAUCUGGCUUCCUCGAGAAGCUGACAUGGGGACAAAGAUUCAAGUUUCCAAGUACCUCCACUGGAUCCCAGAACAAAACUCAAGAAGAUUUAUUGAAAUACAAAAAUACCUAGCACUCAACAUUCGCAAUGUCUGGACAACCAGUAAACGAUUACCAGGCCCGCAGAAGAGCCAGAAAAUAGGAGUUCCCGUUAUGGGUCAGGGGAACGAAUCCAAAUAGGAUCCAUGAGGAUGCAGAUUCGAACCCUGGCCUCGCUCAGGGAGAUCUGGGUUGGGGAUCUGCUGUUGCCAUGGCUGUGGUGUAGGCCAGCAGCUGCAGCUCUGAUUUGAUCCUAGCCUGAGAACUUCCAUGUGCCUAGGGUGCAGCCCUAAAAAGCCAAAAACAAAACAAAACAAAACAAAACAAAAGGCAGGGAAAUAGGACCUGUGUUGAGGUAUUGAGGAGAUAAAGAGAUAAAAC
RNAcentral lists this long non-coding RNA (4412 nucleotides) under Sus scrofa (pig). RNAcentral's name for it is "lncRNA (ENSSSCG00065043295.1)". Lineage: Eukaryota; Metazoa; Chordata; Mammalia; Artiodactyla; Suidae. The record is from RNAcentral.